Unclassified non-coding RNA from Callithrix jacchus (white-tufted-ear marmoset), 300 nucleotides. It matches the Rfam family "Metazoan signal recognition particle RNA". From Rfam's summary of the family: The signal recognition particle (SRP) is a universally conserved ribonucleoprotein. Lineage: Eukaryota; Metazoa; Chordata; Mammalia; Primates; Cebidae. The record is from Ensembl.
GCUGGGCACGGUGGCAUGCGCCUGUAGUCCCAGCUACUCGGGAGGCUGAGGUGGGAGGAUCACUUGAGCCCAGGAGUUCUGGGCUGUAGUACGCUAUGCCAAUCAGGUGUCUGCACUAAGUUCGGCAUCAAUAUGGUGACCUCCCAGGAGCAGGGGACCACCAGGUUGCCUAAAGAGGGGUGAACCAGCCCAGGUCAGAAAUAGAGCAGGUCAAAACUCCCAUGCUGAUCAGUAGUGGGACUGCACCUGUGACUAGCCACUGCACUCCAGCCUGGGCAACACAGCGAGACCCCAUCUCUA